This is a non-coding RNA of Podarcis muralis (Common wall lizard), 462 nucleotides long. The record is from RefSeq and is a predicted model, not a curated record. NCBI's taxonomy places the organism in Eukaryota, Metazoa, Chordata, Lepidosauria, Squamata, Lacertidae.
CCUGUGCUUGUUAAACAACAAUGCAUGUGUGACCAGGCCUGAUCAGCAGCAAAAUCCCAGUUCCUGGAUAUUCCACGAGAUAAUCUCUAUUUGCAACAGAGGAUAUUUCAACUUCUUAAUGAACCCACCAGAACCUGGAAAUACAUGGAUCUAAAUCUACAAACCAGUUACGUUAUUAAUGUAUGGAAUAAAAGGUUAACAGCUUGCGGCCUCUUUCAACUUUUAUUUAGGCGAAAUGAUUCAGGGUGGCUCCAAAUGUGACACAAAUGACAAGCAAGCAUCUACUUGCAGGCUGAAGUUUGGACUGGGACAAUGCCUUGUGACCCAAAAACACGCCUACUUGCAACAAAAUCCCAGGAGAUGGAAGGCUAUGUAUGUACUUAAUAUAAGCAUGUAAAUUUUACACUGUAAAAAGAUAGCAGUUAUGUAAUACUGCCAAGAACAUUAAAUGACUUCAAUCUA